UACAGAGGCCUCGAGCGUUAGGCGGAAUCACUGGGCUUAAAGCGUGUGUAGGCGGAUCGGUAAGUACCUUGUGUAAUCCCACAGCUUAACUGUGGAACUGCUUGGUAUACUGCCAGUCUUGAGCCACUUAGGGGCUACCGGAACAAAUGGUGGAGCGGUGAAAUGCGUAGAUAUCAUUUGGAACGCCAAUGGUGAAAACAGGUAGCUGGGAGUGUGCUGACGCUGAGACACGAAAGCCAGGGGAGCAAACGGG
RNAcentral lists this ribosomal RNA (253 nucleotides) under uncultured bacterium. RNAcentral describes it as "partial 16S ribosomal RNA". It matches the Rfam family "Bacterial small subunit ribosomal RNA", at positions 524 to 776 of the family's 1533-position model. The record is from RNAcentral.